UGCCGUCUGUGGGAAGCUGCCCCAACCCAUUCCCCUUCCCCGGCUUGGAAAAACAAUGUCCCAGUGAUGAAAUGCCUUGCAGAUUUAUUGUAAUUUAAAUCUCCUUCCCUUUAACCCAAACCAGGGCACAGAAAGGUGGUUAGAAUGUUCCAGCACAAACUCAUAUGAGCACAGGAGCUAUUCCAGGGAAAAGUAUCCUCCCUACCUGCAUGAAGCUUCCUUUCAAGACACUGAUAUUAUCAAGAACAUGAAGGAAGAGUGGCAGCAGCCCACCUGAGGCACAGCAGAGCUGGGGGUGAUGAGAGAAAUUUAAGGGAAAUGGCCCCUGUCAGACACGGGCUUCCUUUGACGGUGUGGGAAUCCCACCUGGCCACAAAGGGUAGAGGAAGCAAGUGCCCCAGGAGUCUUGAUCGCAGCCCAGGUCGGCACGAGGAAAGCAGAAAGCAGGAAGAGUGAGUGUUCCUGGUACCACGGCUUCCAGGCUCUUCCCAGUUUAGAGUGCUCAACAUUCUAAAACUCGGCCAGCCAGCUGGGAGAUUUGGGUAUUCAGAUUUUUGGGUGCCUUAAGAUUCCACUGGCAGUAGAGAAUCACUAAAUGCCCAUUUCUGAAUGAAUUCUACUCCCCAGAGACAUUAACAGAUGAUGUACUUGGCUUGAAUCCUAUUUGAUGUAAGAAAAUCAGCCAAGAGUCCUUCCUAAGUUACUCACAUCUGAGGCACCAUCGGGCUGACUGUGGGACACUCCAGACAGGGAGUGCUGUGUACCCUCGACCUCUCCUGUGACACGAACACCUCCUCUGUCUCUCUCCAUGGACGACGUUUUCAUCUUAUGCUUUGGGAAUGCUACCUGGCCACCCUGGAGGGCCACCCAAGGAAAGAGUUCGUUCCAAAGACAGGUGCUCCUCUGAGUUCCUCUGGAAUCUGGCAAGGCGCCGAGCUUGGACGCAAGGCUUCCAUGAGGCUGUGAAGGAGGCUGCAUGGAAACCGGUGGGGACCUGAAAAGCUUUUAGUGGCCUCGCCACAUACAGCACUUUAGAUGCUCAGGUGACGAGCAACAUUUUCCAAGCCCAGCUAGUGAGCACCCCACCUGCUCUGGCUUCCAGAACCUGGUGUGGAGGGCCGGGGGAGGCUUCGGGACUGAAGAGCAGAGCAGCAGACUCCGGGGCUCAUGUAGGAACAUGCCUUCAGCCAAAGAUUAUCCAUGCUGCAUGGAGACUCUUGCUAAAUAUCACUGGUAAAUGCACAAUUAUGUCCCAUUUAGAAGAUCUCUAGCAGAGUGUCUUGUGUUUGAUGGAUUUGUCCUGCAUUUAAUUAUAACUUCCUGCUAAAGCUCAGAUGUUUUCUUUCAGGGGUAAGAUUGAAGAAAAGAAAUAAACUAUGCUACCUGCUCUCAAUAAAGAUCAUUUUAUUUUAAACAGGGGGCUGAAUAAAACCUUUUGACUCUAUAUUUCAGACAAAUGCAGUGGCUUAAUUUCAUUCAAGCAUUUACUGAGGAUUUGAAACGCAUGCGGUUAGUGGUGAGAAUGCUGACUUGGGGCUGUCCCUUCAUCUGGAGUUGCCAGCCGACUGCGCAGGAAGAGAAGGUGAAUGUCAAACACACAGGUCAACAUCAGAAACAGCACUUCUGCCUUCCAAUGGCCCCGAU
Molecule: non-coding RNA, 1644 nt
Filed under: Pongo abelii (Sumatran orangutan)
Lineage: Eukaryota; Metazoa; Chordata; Mammalia; Primates; Hominidae
Source: RNAcentral